CCUACGGGCGGCAGCAGUAGGGAAUAUUGCUCAAUGGGGGAAACCCUGAAGCAGCAACGCCGCGUGGAGGAUGAAGGUUUUCGGAUUGUAAACCCCUUUUGUUAGAGAAGAUACUGACGGCAUCUAACCAGUAAGCACCGGCUAACUCCGUGCCAGCAGCCGCGGUAAUACGGAGGGUGCAAGCGUUACUCGGAAGCACUGGGCGUGAAGAGCGCGUAGGCGGGAUAGCAAGUCAGAUGUGAAAUCCUAUGGCUUAACCAUAGAACUGCAUUUGAAACUGUUAGUCUGGAGUAUGGGAGAGGUAGGUGGAAUUCUUGGGGUAGGGGUAAAAUCCGUAGAGAUCAAGAGGAAUACUCAUGGCGAAGGCGACCUGCUAGAACAUAACUGACGCUGAUGCGCGAAAGCGUGGGGAGCAAACAGGAUUAGAUACCCGAGUAGUC
RNAcentral lists this ribosomal RNA (440 nucleotides) under uncultured bacterium. RNAcentral's name for it is "partial 16S ribosomal RNA". It matches the Rfam family "Bacterial small subunit ribosomal RNA", at positions 338 to 795 of the family's 1533-position model. The record is from RNAcentral.